This 397-nucleotide long non-coding RNA is filed under the name Homo sapiens (human). Its description in RNAcentral is "HSALNT0084604". The record is from RNAcentral. Lineage: Eukaryota; Metazoa; Chordata; Mammalia; Primates; Hominidae.
GCUACCAGAGACACCCACUGUCACACUGGAGCCUGCUUCUGACCAAAACAUCCUCUGUCAAGCUAUAGACUGCUUCUGACCUCAGGUUUGCCAUUCUGAGCACAUAACAAAAAUAAAACAAGAAAAAGCAUAAGCAUUCUUCUACAAAUAGUUUCUGGCUUUCAACCAAACAUGAGAUACACAAAGAGCCAAGAAGAAAACAACCUGUUUUCAAUAGAUAAAGCAAACAACAUAACUAGACCUAAAGAUGUGUCUGUGAGUCGGGACUAGGAUUAAUACAUACAUUUAAUACAUGUAAUAUUUAUUUAUUUCAUUGUAUGCAAUUUUUAGACUUGAAAAGAGAUCAAACAUUACCAAAAGAAACAAACCACAAACCAACAAUAUGAGCAACAGAAGA